UGAAAGACAUGGGUAGUGAGAUGUUGGCAUAUCGUACCUCUCACUAUCUUGUCGUUCAUG
Molecule: microRNA precursor, 60 nt
Filed under: Triops cancriformis
Lineage: Eukaryota; Metazoa; Arthropoda; Branchiopoda; Notostraca; Triopsidae
Description: microRNA tcf-mir-71 precursor
Gene: tcf-mir-71
Rfam family: mir-71 microRNA precursor family
Source: miRBase by way of RNAcentral